GUCGGGCACUGGAGUUCUAUUGAAGGGUAUUUUUAAAAUAUUUAAAAAAGGGGUUCUUAUGUCGUUGGAGUUCUUCUGUCACUCUGUCAGCAACAGGAUAGCGCAACGUCAGACUGUAGCGCACCUAGCGGCAUGGCGUUGCAAUAACCAAAAUACACUCAGCAACGUUAAGACCCUAAACGUUAACUGUCAACACGUCAACAAGUGUUUGGGCCGUGGGAGCUUGGGAUCAUUCAAGAAAUUUGUGCUGCAGUUUCUUUCAGUAAAGCAAGAUUCAUAUAGAAAGGCGAAAUAGUUCAUGAAUAAUUUUACGAAAAGAAGCUGCAAAAUGAUUCUAUGACACACUUUGACAUGAGUAUCUGAAAUUCCAGUGAACCAGUCAGUUCACCAGCAACAGCUUCUAGUCCUGGCAAAAAGCCAGAAAACAAUGUAAGAAGAAGCAUCAACAAUUUAUCAUUUCAGGAGAUCACAACAGAUCUAUGCAUCACACAUGGUAAUCAAGAGUUUGCAGUCAGCAUACUCAGUACUCUUCUUUCUAAAGACGAAAUGAAAUCCUGGAAGAUGUCUUGGGGCUGUUAUCACUUUGUCCAACAGCAUCCUGGAAGAACUGCUACUUUUCAUCACCACAAUUUAAAACAUUUCAGCCACAGAGUUCCAGCAAAGCAUAUCCUUUACAGAUGUAAGCUAACUACAUGUGAUAUGAAUUCACACUUCACAGAUACAGGUUGUAGAUUGGCUCUAGUACUGCUACUCAUUCACCUUAGGAGCCUUAGGGAUUAAUAAUUCAGUGGCUAAAAUUAUGUCUGCUAGAUGGCGCGAGUGUCUUCG
Molecule: long non-coding RNA, 828 nt
Organism: Daphnia pulicaria
Lineage: Eukaryota; Metazoa; Arthropoda; Branchiopoda; Diplostraca; Daphniidae
Exons: 3
Source: RefSeq, a predicted model, not a curated record